This 360-nucleotide ribosomal RNA is filed under the name Triticum aestivum (bread wheat). Its description in RNAcentral is "partial small subunit ribosomal RNA". The record is from RNAcentral. Lineage: Eukaryota; Viridiplantae; Streptophyta; Magnoliopsida; Poales; Poaceae.
AUGUUUACGGAGAACCACGUGACCACUGUCGAUGCACGACUCAUCGGUAUUGCACGAGAGUUAGCUGACGCACGUUGCCCUGCGGAUAUUCUACAGAGGAGUUUUGGUUCUGCUGUGUUAGCGGCUACGUACAGAGGCCUGUGCAAAGCUUGCUUGUUGAAGUCUAGAAAAUCUGGUGUUGUUGGAUGUCCAUUAUUGUUGCAGCUCUGGUCAUACGAGAGAUUCUCUAUUGGACGACCCUAUGUCUACGUUGAUAAACCUUUUGGUUUGGAGGACUUAGCUGGGGCUUAUGUGCCUGCUAUCGGCGAUUUACCUACUAUGGGAUCUAUUUGGGCACGACGAGAGGUACUUUUAUAUUAA